This 246-nucleotide ribosomal RNA is filed under the name uncultured soil bacterium. Its description in RNAcentral is "partial 16S ribosomal RNA". It matches the Rfam family "Bacterial small subunit ribosomal RNA", at positions 26 to 260 of the family's 1533-position model. The record is from RNAcentral.
AGAUUGAACGCUGGCGGCGGGCCUAACACAUGCAAGUCGAGCGGCAGCACGGGUACUUGUACCUGGUGGCGAGCGGCGGACGGGUGAGUAAUGCCUAGGAAUCUGCCUGGUAGUGGGGGAUAACGCUCGGAAACGGACGCUAAUACCGCAUACGUCCUACGGGAGAAAGCAGGGGACCUUCGGGCCUUGCGCUAUCGAGAUGACGUCCGUAGGUCGGUAUUACGCGUUAGGUUGGUAGUAAGGUAA